Ornithodoros turicata is the source of this 334-nucleotide long non-coding RNA. RefSeq lists it as uncharacterized. The transcript has 3 exons. NCBI's taxonomy places the organism in Eukaryota, Metazoa, Arthropoda, Arachnida, Ixodida, Argasidae. The record is from RefSeq and is a predicted model, not a curated record.
AUGGCACAAAGGACACCUGUACAGGCGUACUGUAACUGGAAACAACUGCUACUCACAACACAUCAGCACUGCACAGUGUUGAGCAGCGGCUUUCGUAUCUACAUACUUGAUACCGCUGUACCAUCUGAAGGGGAGGAGCAUGCCACACCUCGUUCUCGGCCUGCAGAAUCCCUGCGAACAAGCCAAAUGCUAUACACAGGUGCUGGGGCUCAUACGGUGCUGUCCUACGUUCAAGAUCACCAACGAAGCUCCGGAUGUUGAAGUGCACCCUGCUCGUGCAUGUGGUGGCAAACUGAUACUUGCAGAAGCUGUGGAGCAACAGAGUGAAGUAGGA